UACGUAGGUGGCAAGCGUUGUCCGGAUUUACUGGGCGUAAAGAGCGCGCAGGCGGUCGAGUAAGUCGAAUGUGAAAGCCCCCGGCUCAACUGGGGAGGGUCACGCGAUACUGAUCGACUCGAAGGCAGGAGAGGGAAGUGGAAUUCCCGGUGUAGUGGUGAAAUGCGUAGAUAUCGGGAGGAACACCAGUGGCGAAGGCGACUUCCUGGCCUGUUCUUGACGCUGAGGCGCGAAAGCUAGGGGAGCAAACGGG
This 253-nucleotide ribosomal RNA is filed under the name uncultured bacterium. Its description in RNAcentral is "partial 16S ribosomal RNA". It matches the Rfam family "Bacterial small subunit ribosomal RNA", at positions 524 to 776 of the family's 1533-position model. The record is from RNAcentral.